UCCCCUUCACCGAAAUAUGCAGCAAAGAAAGGGUUUUGAAGCUGGAAAAUUUCAGCAACAUAUUUCCCUUGCUUAUGAUGAAAAUUGAGACUUGGACCUAGAACGGAAAGAAAUUGAUUUAUGGACGAGUAUGUCCUUUUCACCUUUGUGGUAUCGAGAGUUUCCAGGUUAGCUCGGGUUGGAGGCCGUCAGAGAUAUUAUCACACUGUCAAGCUAACGCUAUUGGUGUAGUGAUUUCAAGUACUUUGAGCCUAUGGCAUGUAUAGGAGUUUAAAUAUUAGAGUAUGUGAUAUGGAUUUAACCAUAUGUGUUGGCCUAUUUUGAUUAUGGGGUUGUAAAUCUAUUUUAAUUAUGCAUGCAUGUGCUAUGGUAUUAUGUGAUGAGUUUAUAAUGAUUAUAGUAUGAA
Gossypium arboreum is the source of this 406-nucleotide long non-coding RNA. RefSeq lists it as uncharacterized. The record is from RefSeq and is a predicted model, not a curated record. Lineage: Eukaryota; Viridiplantae; Streptophyta; Magnoliopsida; Malvales; Malvaceae. The transcript is spliced from 3 exons.